CUGUUGGAAAAAUCAGAUAGUACUUCUACAAUUGGAACGAGACAGAGAAGAUCUGCGUGGACCCUGCGCAAGGCUGAGAUGCAAACCUAAGACGGUAUUGCU
Leptonychotes weddellii (Weddell seal) is the source of this 102-nucleotide small nuclear RNA. The record is from RefSeq and is a predicted model, not a curated record. NCBI's taxonomy places the organism in Eukaryota, Metazoa, Chordata, Mammalia, Carnivora, Phocidae.